GACGAACGCUGGCGGCGUGCUUAACACAUGCAAGUCGAACGGAAAGGCCCUGCUUUCGUGGGGUGCUCGAGUGGCGAACGGGUGAGUAACACGUGAGUAACCUGCCCUUGACUUUGGGAUAACUUCAGGAAACUGGGGCUAAUACCGGAUAGGAGCUCCUGCUGCAUGGUGGGGGUUGGAAAGUUUCGGCGGUUGGGGAUGGACUCGCGGCUUAUCAGCUUGUUGGUGGGGUAGUGGCUUACCAAGGCUUUGACGGGUAGCCGGCCUGAGAGGGUGACCGGCCACAUUGGGACUGAGAUACGGCCCAGACUCCUACGGGAGGCAGCAGUGGGGAAUAUUGCACAAUGGGCGGAAGCCUGAUGCAGCAACGCCGCGUGCGGGAUGACUGCCUUCGGGUUGUAAACCGCUUUCGCCUGUGACGAAGCGUGAGUGACGGUAAUGGGUAAAGAAGCACCGGCUAACUACGUG
RNAcentral lists this ribosomal RNA (468 nucleotides) under uncultured bacterium. RNAcentral's name for it is "partial 16S ribosomal RNA". It matches the Rfam family "Bacterial small subunit ribosomal RNA", at positions 28 to 507 of the family's 1533-position model. The record is from RNAcentral.